UUCAAGUAAAGCUGCACUCUUCCAUUUUAUGGACAUCAUAAAAGACUUUCGGGAGGGGGUGGUGGUGGAGUGGAGGAGAUCCCCCAGUGUUUUAACUAGGACCGGGAUGGAUGUGUUUGGAAAAGCAGACCGGAUGGAUGGACAGCUCUAAUGUAGUAACGCUAACUGAAUCACUCACACUGCACCAGGCUCCCCAGGGGAAGGAAUGUGGGAUGGGAGUGUAAGGCCCCACUUACAAUAUGUUGAGGACAUAAAGGCUAGUGUGAAGUCCAUCACAUCCUGGUGAAUAGCUGCCCUUUGUGCCUCAGAACUUAAUUCACAGCCUGAAAGGACCCCAGCCCUGCCAUAGCACCUCUGUGUGCUGCCUGAUUUAAAAGAGUCUGCAUGUCCACCGAGUGAAAACUUCAAAGACGACAAGAUCUUCUGCAAAAGCACGAAAAACUUCAAGCACGUUUGUUUGUUUUGACCCCGAAGCCCCUUGCUGCAACCCUCUACCUCCAACUUGCAAGUCCUGCAAAAUACAUGAGGAAGAGAGACCAAAUCCAGAGCUGUUUUUUUUUUCUCGCCUGCCUGCAACCGUCAUUCUUCCAUGUGUUACUGUUGUGUAACUUUUGUAGAAAGCAACUCUGGCAUAUGGCACUGAAUCUACUACAAUGACCUCGCAAAACUGAUGACAAAGUACAAAGUACUAAAGUUUCUUGGGAGGCAGAGAAGUAUGAAGUUUUCAAAUACAUUUUAUAUAUUUCACUAAGAAAAUGAAAAUCAAUACCACACAAACGCACACGCACACACACACACACACACACACACAGUGUGAAUACACGCAGACAUUUAUGUUUCCACACUGACUCAUCUAGCUUGGCCUCUGUAGGUGUCUGGGUUGAGGAUUGGAGUUAUGAUUUCUUUUAGGGAAGUACAAAAGGGCCCCAUCUAUCAGUAGGUUGCUGCCUCCAGCCAGGCCCGGAUCUGUCAUAAGAAGGAAAUAGAGACGAUAAAACCUUAUAAAAAAAAUACAACACAGUGCAAACUAUGAAGCUAAAAGUUACCUAAGAUGACUAUAAAGCAAAAUCAAAAGAGACCACUCAAGUUCAUUGUAUUCUCUCAUCAUAUUGCAGAGCAAUUAUGCUUGGAUAACAACAGUAUGGUUGGCUUGAGAUGUAAAUUGACAUGAUUUCUGCUACUGUAUUUGACUGUAACAUAAGGAAUCACAUCACUUAUUAUACCCUGAGCUUUGACUGAGAAAAGUAUUUGUGUUCAAUGCAACAAUGGUGUUUAAAAAACAAAACAAC
This is a long non-coding RNA of Lates calcarifer (barramundi perch), 1289 nucleotides long. RefSeq lists it as uncharacterized. NCBI's taxonomy places the organism in Eukaryota, Metazoa, Chordata, Actinopteri, Centropomidae. The transcript has 3 exons. The record is from RefSeq and is a predicted model, not a curated record.